GUACCUGCUCUGUAUGUAUAUAAAGCCUUUAUGCCUAAACUGUGAAUAGUACCAGUUAACCAGCAAACUGAUAGGAUCAGGGAGCAUCAGAACCUCUGUUCCAGCUGUGAAGGCAACUUAACAGACAAAAUCUAGAACAAGAUAAGGAAGAAUAAUGAAGAUUUUGUGGAUACUGCUACUUCUUGGCAUCCAGAUAAUGACCAUACAUGCUCAAACAACUGGAACAGCUUCUCCUACGACCACGACUGCUCCAACAACCACAGCUUCUGCAACAACAACCACAGCUGUUCCAACAACAACCACAGCUGCUGCAACAACGACCACAGCUGCUCCAACAACCACAGCUGCUGCAACAACAGCCACAGCUGUUUCAACAACAACCACAACUGCUGCAACAACGACCACAGCUGC
This is a long non-coding RNA of Cyprinodon tularosa, 411 nucleotides long. RefSeq lists it as uncharacterized. The record is from RefSeq and is a predicted model, not a curated record. Lineage: Eukaryota; Metazoa; Chordata; Actinopteri; Cyprinodontiformes; Cyprinodontidae. The transcript is spliced from 3 exons.